This 589-nucleotide ribosomal RNA is filed under the name uncultured ciliate. RNAcentral describes it as "SSU rRNA". It matches the Rfam family "Eukaryotic small subunit ribosomal RNA", at positions 342 to 944 of the family's 1831-position model. The record is from RNAcentral. Lineage: Eukaryota; Ciliophora.
UACCAUGGCUUUAACGGGUAACGGAGGAUUAGGGUUCGAUUCCGGAGAGGGAGCCUGAGAAACGGCUACCACAUCUAAGGAAGGCAGCAGGCGCGUAAAUUACCCAAUCGCGACUCGCGGAGGUAGUGACAAGAAAUAACGGACCGAAGCCUAUGUUUCGGGAUUGCAAUGAGUAGAAUUUAAACCCCUUUACGAGGAUCAAUUGGAGGGCAAGUCUGGUGCCAGCAGCCGCGGUAAUUCCAGCUCCAAUAGCGUAUAUUAAAGUUGUUGCAGUUAAAAAGCUCGUAGUUGGACUUCUGGGAGGGUGCCAAUGUCCGUUCGAUAACGUGUGCAGCGGCGCCCUUCCAUCCUUCUGUUAACGUUUCUUGGUAUUCAGUUACUGGUUUCGGGCUCAGAUAUUUUACCUUGAGAAAAUUAGAGUGUUUCAGGCAGGCUUGCGCCGGAAUACAUUAGCAUGGAAUAAUAGAAUAGGACUUUAGUCUCCUUUGUUGGUUUGAGGGACUGAAGUAAUGAUUAAUAGGGAUAGUUGGGGGCAUUCGUAUUUAAUUGUCAGAGGUGAAAUUCUCGGAUUUGUUAAAGACUAACUUAU